Molecule: ribosomal RNA, 253 nt
Filed under: uncultured bacterium
Lineage: Bacteria
Description: partial 16S ribosomal RNA
Rfam family: Bacterial small subunit ribosomal RNA
Source: RNAcentral
GACAGAGGGUGCAAACGUUGUUCGGAAUUAUUGGGCGUAAAGCGCGUGUAGGCUGCUUUGCAAGUCGGAUGUGAAAGCCCCGGGCUCAACCUGGGAAGUGCACUCGAAACUGCAGAGCUCGAGUCCUGGAGAGGAAGGCGGAAUUCUCGGUGUAGAGGUGAAAUUCGUAGAUAUCGAGAGGAACACCGGUGGCGGAGGCGGCCUUCUGGACAGUGACUGACGCUGAGACGCGAAAGCGUGGGGAGCAAACAGG